Molecule: ribosomal RNA, 253 nt
Filed under: uncultured bacterium
Lineage: Bacteria
Description: partial 16S ribosomal RNA
Rfam family: Bacterial small subunit ribosomal RNA
Source: RNAcentral
UACGUAGGCAGCGAGCGUUGUUCGGAGUUACUGGGCGUAAAGGGUGUGUAGGCGGCUUUCCAAGUUUGGUGUGAAAUCUCCCGGCUUAACCGGGAGGGUGCGCCGAAAACUGGGAGGCUAGAGUGCGGGAUGGGAGAGUGGAAUUCCUGGUGUAGCGGUGAAAUGCGUAGAUAUCAGGAGGAACACCGGUGGUGUAGACGGCUCUCUGGACCGUAACUGACGCUGAGACACGAAAGCGUGGGUAGCAAACAGG